GACGAACCGUGCGAACGUUAUUCGGAAUCACUGGGCUUAAAGCGCGUGUAGGCGGGACGGCACGUCGGUCGCUGAAAUCCCCCGGCUUAACCGGGGAACGGGCGUCGAUACGACCGUCCUGGAGGGGCGUAGGGGGACCUGGAACUUCCGGUGGAGCGGUGAAAUGCGUAGAGAUCCGGAGGAACACCAGAGGCGAAGGCGGCCCACUGGUCCGGUACUGACGCUGAGGUGCGAAAGCGUGGGGAGCAAACAGG
Molecule: ribosomal RNA, 254 nt
Filed under: uncultured bacterium
Lineage: Bacteria
Description: partial 16S ribosomal RNA
Rfam family: Bacterial small subunit ribosomal RNA
Source: RNAcentral